This is an RNA transcript of Cercocebus atys (sooty mangabey), 3450 nucleotides long. It is a transcript of the gene named trifunctional enzyme subunit alpha, mitochondrial pseudogene, with no coding region annotated. NCBI's taxonomy places the organism in Eukaryota, Metazoa, Chordata, Mammalia, Primates, Cercopithecidae. The record is from RefSeq and is a predicted model, not a curated record. The transcript has a single exon.
GACCCAGCAAUUCCAGUGCUAGGUACAUACCCAAAAGAAAUAAAAACACAUACCCACACAAAAACUUGCACAUGAGUGCCAUAGCAGCCUUGUUCAUGACAGUCAAAAAAUGGGAACAACCCAGAUGUCCAUCAAUGGAUGAAUGGAAAAACAAAAUGUGGUAAAUCCACAUAAUGGAGUACUAAUACAUGCUACAACAUGGGUGAGCCUUGAAAGCACUAUGCUAAGUUGAAGGAGUCAGCCACAAAAGACCACAUAUUGCACAAUUUGAUGUAUAUGAAAUGUCUAGAAUAAGCAAAUCUAUGGAGACAAAAAGUAGAUUAGUCUGGUUGCCUAGAGUUGUUGGAGCAGGAUUGGGAGGAAAUGGGAAAAUGAGGAGUAACUGCUAACGGGUAUGGGGUUCUUUUUGAGGUGAUGAUAUAAAUGUUCUACAAUUGUGGGGAUGGCUGCACAACACUGUGGAUAUACUAUAAACCAUUGAAAUUUACUUUUAAUUGUGUGAACUAUUUGGUAUGUGAAUUCUAUCUCAAUAAAGUUGCAACAAAAUAAAAUGACCACAAAGAUUUUCAGCCAUUAAAUAUUAAAAUAUUUAAUAAAAGAGGCAAGUUUUAGGAGGGAGCUUAAGAACAGUACAACUCUGAAAUCUGAGGAAAAAACCCUGAAGUCAGUUCAUUUGUAUUCUCCUUGGUUAUGACAAAUCAAAAAAGCCAAUACAGAAGGUAAGAAUGAAAUUAAAGAGAAGAGCUCUCCACUGCUGUUCUCUUCAGCUCAACAUGGUGGCCUACCAGGCGACUGGCAGUCUCAGCCGCUUCUCUGCCUUCAGGAUCCCCCGCUCCCGAGGUUAUGUAUGCUGCCAUUUUACAGGGUCCUCUGCUUUGAUGACCACAACCCAUAUUAACUAUGGAGUCAAAGGGGACGUGGCAGUUAUUUGAAUUAACUCUCCCCAUUCAAAGGUAAAAACACUGAAUAAACAAAGAGCUGCAUUCAGAGUUCACAGAAGUUAUGGAUGAAAUCUGGGCUAGUGAUCAAAUCAGAAGUGUCAUCCUUAUCUCAUCAAAGCCAGGCUGCUUUACUGUAGGUGCUGAUAUCAACAUGUUAGCCACUUGCAAGACCCCUCAAGAAGUAACACAGAUAUCACAAGAAGCACCAAGAACAUUUGAGAAAUUGAAAAGUCCACAAAGCCUGUUGUGACUGCCAUCAGUGGAUCCUGCCUGGGAGGAGGACUUGAGUUUGCCAUUUUAUGCCAAUACAGAAUAGCAACAAAAGACAGAAAAAACAGUAUUAGGUGCUCCUGAAGUCUCGCUGGGGAUCUUACCAGGAGCAGGAGGUGCACAAAGGCUGCCCAAAAUGGUGGGUGUGCCUGCUGCUUUUGACAUGAUGCUGACUGGUAGAAACAUUCAUGCAGAUAGGGCAAAGAAAAUGGGACUUGUUGACCAAUUGGUGGAAUCUCUGGGACCAGGACUAAAACUUCCAGAGGAACAGAAAAUCAAAUACCUAGAAGAAGUCACAAUUACUUUUGCCAAAGGACUAGCUGAUAAGAUCUCUCUAAAGACAGACAAGGGAUUGGUGGAAAAAUUGACAGUGUAUGCCAUAACUAUUCCAUUUGUCAGAGAGCAAAUUUACAAAACAAGUGGAAGAAAACGUGUGAAAGCAGACUAAAGGGCUUUAUCCUGCACCUCUGAAAAUAAUUGAUAUGGUAAAGACUAGAAUUGAGCAAGGAAGUGAUGCUGGUUAUCUCUCUGAAUCUCAGAAAUUUGGAGAGCUUGUAAUGACCAAAGAAUCAAAGGCCUUGAUGGGACUCUACCAUGGUCAGGUCCUGUGCAAGAAGAAAACAUCUGGAGCUCCACAGAAGGAAGUUAAGCAUCUGGCUAUUCUUGGUGCAGGGAUGAUGGAAGCAGGCAUCACCCAAGUCUCCAUGGAUAAGGGGCUAAAGACUAUACUUAAAGAUGCCACACUCACUGGGCUAGGCCGAGGACAGCAACAAGUGUUCAAAGGACUGACUGACAAAGUGAAGAAGAAAGCUCUAACAUCAUUUGAAAGGGAUUCCAUCGUCAGCAACUUGACUGGGCAGUUUGAUUACCAUGGGUUUUAAAAAGACCAACAUGGUGAUGGACACUGUGUUUGAGGGCCUUAGUUUUAAGCACAGAGUGCUAAAGGAAGUAGAAGCGGUGACUCUAGAUCACUGUGUGUUUGCCAGCAACAUAUCUGCUCUCCCAAUCAGUGAAAUUACCGCUAUCAGCAAAAGACCUGAGAAGGUGAUUGGCAGGCACUACUUCUCUCCUGCGGACAAGAGGCAGCUGCUGGAGAUGAUCACAACCGGGAAGACUUCCAAAGACACCAGUGCCUCAGCUGUAGCAGUCCGUCUCAAGCAGGGGAAGGUCAUCAUUAUGGUUAAGGAUGCACCUGGCUUCUAUACCACCAGGUGUCUUGCACCCAUGAUGUCUGAAGUCAUCCGAAUCCUCCAGGAAGGAGUUGACCCGAAGAAGCUGGAUUCCCUGACCACAAACCUCGGCUUUCCUAUGGGUGCCGCCACACUGGUGGAUGAAGUUGGUGUGGAUGUAGCGAAACAUGUGGCGAAAGAUCUGGGCAAAGCCUUUGGGGAGCAGUCUGGAGGUGGAAACCCAGAACUGCUGACACAGAUGGUGUCCAAGGGCUUUCUAGGUCACAAGUCUGGGUAGGGCUUUUCCAUCUGUCAGGAGGGUGUGAAGAGUAAGAAUUUGAAUUCUGACAUGGACAGUAUUUUAGCAAGUCUGAAGAUGCCUCCUAAGUCUGAAGUCUCCUCAGAUGAAGACAUCCAGUUCUGCCUAGUGACAAGAUUAGUGAGUGAGGCAGUCAUGUGCCUGCAAGAGGGGACCUUGGCCACACCUGCAGAGGGAGACACUGGAGCCAUCUUUGGGCUCAGCUUCCCACCUUGUCUUGGAGGGUCUUUCCGCUUUGUGCAUCUGUAUGGCACCCAGAAGAUAGUGGACGGGCUCAAGAGGUAUGAAGCUGCCUAUGGAAAAGAGUUCACCCCAUGCCAGCUGCUAGUUGACCACACUAACAGCCCUAACAAGAAGUGUUACCAGUGAGCAGGCCUCAUGCCUCACUCAGUCAGUGCACUAACCCCAGCUUCCGGCAGAGGUGGUUCUCCACCAGAGUGGCGUCUAGAUUUAUCAGAGUUACGAGAAAGAAGACAAACUCUGGCAUUGGGUUUGCUCCCUGAUUAAAGUGCCUUCAGCCAAGAUCAUCUCUCCCUCCUGGUGAAGUCUGACUGUGAAUUAGAGUUAGCACUUCCUAGUGGAAGGUGGAAGCCCCUGUGCUCAUUGUAUAAGCCCUGAGGCCUAGAGUGGCAGCCAAGAGCUGUCUGGAGCCAUCUCUCUCCCUGUUCCUCCCAGGAAGCCAGGGUGGCCAGGGGUGGCGAGGGCAAUUCUGCACCCAGCCAAACAUAUAACAAUAAAAACCAAACUCUGU